UCUGUGGCUUCGGUCCGGAUGUGCCAACAGGUAACACUGUUGGUAAUUCUAUCCAUAACACCUGUGAACUGUUGGAUGCUUGCAUCCACUUUUAUACUAAACAUUAUUGUAACAAAUGUAGUCUUAUUAUAACAUAAUAAAACUUUUAACAACGGAUCUCUUGGCUCUCGCAUCGAUGAAGAACGCAGCGAAAUGCGAUAAGUAAUGUGAAUUGCAGAAUUCAGUGAAUCAUCGAAUCUUUGAACGCACCUUGCGCUCCUUGGUAUUCCGAGGAGCAUGCCUGUUUGAGUGUCAUGAAACUCUCAAACCCAAGUUUUGGAUUUCGAUCCAUGCUUGAGUUUGGAUUUGGAUGUUUGCCGGUGAUAAGCCGACUCAUCUUAAAAGUAUUAGCUAGAUCUGUCUCUAUGACUGGUUUGACUUGGCAUAAUAAGUAUUUUGCUGAGGACAUCUUCGGAUGGCCAGGACCUAGACUAUUGUCUGCUAACUAAACCAUCACUUUAAGUGCAUCUUUGGAUGUUACUCAUUGUGUAACUUUGACAUCUGGCCUCAAAUCAGGUAGGACUACCCGCUGAACUUAAGCAUAUCAAUAAGCGGAGGA
This 598-nucleotide ribosomal RNA is filed under the name Filobasidium chernovii. RNAcentral describes it as "eukaryotic LSU rRNA". The stretch from base 141 to 294 matches the Rfam family "5.8S ribosomal RNA". The record is from RNAcentral. Lineage: Eukaryota; Fungi; Basidiomycota; Tremellomycetes; Filobasidiales; Filobasidiaceae.